This 103-nucleotide microRNA precursor is filed under the name Marmota monax (woodchuck). The record is from RNAcentral. Lineage: Eukaryota; Metazoa; Chordata; Mammalia; Rodentia; Sciuridae.
AAUGGGAUAGCUGGGUCAAAUGGUGGUUCUAUUCCAAGUUUUCUGAGGAAUCUCCAUACUUCUUUCCAUAAUGGUGGCACCAAUUUGCAUUACCACCAACAAU